Molecule: ribosomal RNA, 327 nt
Filed under: uncultured eukaryote
Lineage: Eukaryota
Description: partial 18S ribosomal RNA
Rfam family: Eukaryotic small subunit ribosomal RNA
Source: RNAcentral
CCCUUAGAUGUUCUGGGCCACACGCGCGUUACACUGAUGAAGCCAGCGAGUAUAUCGCCUUCACCGGAAGGUGCGGAUAAUCUUGUGAAACUUCAUCGUGCUGGGGAUAGACCAUUGCAAUUAUUGGUCUUGAACGAGGAAUUCCUAGUAAGCAUGAGUCAUCAACUCGUGCUGAUUACGUCCCUGCCCUUUGUACACACCGCCCGUCGCUACUACCGAUUGAAUGGUUUAGUGAGAUCUCGGGAUUGGAGACGUUGCGCCGCAAGGCACAUCGUCCUCGAGAACUUGAUCAAACUUGAUCAUUUAGAGGAAGUAAAAGUCGUAACA